AGAAGAGGACAGUGGAACUCCAUGUGUAGCGGUGAAAUGCGUAGAUAUAUGGAAGAACACCAGUGGCGAAGGCGGCUGUCUGGUCUGCAACUGACGCUGAGGCUCGAAAGCAUGGGUAGCGAACAGGAUUAGAUACCCUGGUAGUCCAUGCCGUAAACGAUGAUUACUAAGUGUUGGAGGGUUUCCGCCCUUCAGUGCUGCAGCUAACGCAUUAAGUAAUCCGCCUGGGGAGUACGACCGCAAGGUUGAAACUCAAAAGAAUUGACGGGGGCCCGCACAAGCGGUGGAGCAUGUGGUUUAAUUCGAAGCUACGCGAAGAACCUUACCAGGUCUUGACAUCUUCUGACAGUCUAAGAGAUUAGAGGUUCCCUUCGGGGACAGAAUGACAGGUGGUGCAUGGUUGUCGUCAGCUCGUGUCGUGAGAUGUUGGGUUAAGUCCCGCAACGAGCGCAACCCUUAUUACUAGUUGCCAGCAUUAAGUUGGGCACUCUAGUGAGACUGCCGGUGACAAACCGGAGGAAGGUGGGGACGACGUCAAAUCAUCAUGCCCCUUAUGACCUGGGCUACACACGUGCUACAAUGGAUGGUACAACGAGUCGCGAGACCGCGAGGUUAAGCUAAUCUCUUAAAACCAUUCUCAGUUCGGACUGUAGGCUGCAACUCGCCUACACGAAGUCGGAAUCGCUAGUAAUCGCGGAUCAGCAUGCCGCGGUGAAUACGUUCCCGG
RNAcentral lists this ribosomal RNA (727 nucleotides) under Pediococcus acidilactici. Its description in RNAcentral is "bacterial SSU rRNA". It matches the Rfam family "Bacterial small subunit ribosomal RNA", at positions 650 to 1377 of the family's 1533-position model. The record is from RNAcentral. Lineage: Bacteria; Bacillati; Bacillota; Bacilli; Lactobacillales; Lactobacillaceae.